This 33-nucleotide ribosomal RNA is filed under the name Streptococcus agalactiae. Lineage: Bacteria; Bacillati; Bacillota; Bacilli; Lactobacillales; Streptococcaceae. The record is from RNAcentral. RNAcentral also lists the same sequence under 4 other names.
ACACCUGUUCUCAUGCCGAACACAGAAGUUAAG